Cloeon dipterum is the source of this 4082-nucleotide long non-coding RNA. RefSeq lists it as uncharacterized. The transcript is spliced from 3 exons. Lineage: Eukaryota; Metazoa; Arthropoda; Insecta; Ephemeroptera; Baetidae. The record is from RefSeq and is a predicted model, not a curated record.
UUGCCCGUGCCCAGUCUUGGGCACCCAUCGGGCACCUUUCGGUUACCCGGAGCGGGCAGGGGGUCACUUGCGGUCACCUAAAAAAUUAAAACUAAGGGUGAUUUUGCAUUUCAGGCAUGAUCCUGAAUCAUGAUUCAUUAAAUUUUUGUCUAAAUUUGGCUUGGAUCCCUGAAAUUGCCAGUGCCCAGUUUUGGGCACCCAUCGGGCACCUUUCGGAUACUCGGUGCGGGCCGGCGGUUAACUAUGGUCACUUUGCGGUCACCGAAAAAAAAUUAAACUAAGGGCGGUUUUGCAUUUCAGGCAUGACCCUGAACCUGGCUUGGUUGGAAUUUUUAAUUUUUUGCUGGGAUCACCUAAAAUUGCCAGUGCCCAGUCGUGGGCAACCAUCGGGCAGCUUUUUCGGGUAACUCGGAUCGGAUAACUGCAUGCGGUGUGACCGGUUCAUUAAUUAAAAUUUUGGGCACAGAAAAAAUAUUGUUUUGGUUAUUGUAGGAUUGAAAAAUAAAUUUUUUAUGCAUUUUAAUAUGAUUGCUAAAAAGGGGCAACUUUUGGUUACCCAAAGGUUAACCGAUGCGCGGGCACCAUUUUACUUUACUCGGUUUUACCCUCAAAAUUUGUCAAAUUUUCGUCACCGCAGGUUUUCACUUAUUUUGGAAAAUAUUUUUGUAAAAGUAGUUAAAGUACACAAAUAAAUAAAAAAAACUUUGAUAACCAAAAUGGGUUAACCAAUGGGCAACCAAAGAGCAACCUAAAAUAGCCACCGUAAAUUCUUGAGUUCGUGUUUCGUAAAAAUUAUUUUUUUUUAAAUUUAUUUGGUUAUAACACUAAUUAGCAUUUCAAACUCUUUAAAUUUACUCGUAUUAAGCACUUAUUUUAGCUCAGCAUUAUCGCGCGCGCGUUUCUUUGUUACACUCGGCCGCGCGUGUGGCGCCACUGUCGGCAGCAGCACCAGCUGCUGCCGGCUGCCUCUGGCUCAGUGACUGUAAACAAGCAUGACGGUUGAGACGCGCUGAUUGCAUCAUCAAUGUCAGCAGAGUAUUUCGCCGUGUUUUCGGUUGUAUUAUGGCAAAUCGAACACAUCAACGGGUUCUUGGACGGAUUGUGGAUGUUCCUGAUGUUCCGAAAGGCUUGCACCGCGUCCCGCCCUGAUGAUGUCCUCUGACUCCUCUGGUUGGGAAUAGCUGCCUGAACGCGAUGGCCAUCCGGAUGACAAGCCUGGACAAGUUAACAAAACUCCGGCCGCAGUAUCCGCAGGGUUUGUCUGCUGUUUUGUUUCCAUUUUCGGCUGUCAUGAAAUGGAUGGAACCAUGGACCCCAAAUAUGAAAAGCAACGCCCAUGUUUGACAGGAUAAGUGCUCGACGCUGGACGACACGAGUAGGCACAUUGAGUGGAUUUUUGGUUUACCGGUUUUCUUUGAUGUAUGUUUAAUGGCGUUUUUUGUGUUUAAAUCUUAAAUAUAAUUUUUAACAAGACUCAUAUGUUCUGCUCAAAUACGUAUGUAAACUCACUCGACAUAUGUUUGCAGUAACUGAAUCCAACUAUUGUUAUGAUUUAGUUUGUGUUUGCGGCAUAUUUUUAGUUUCGGUUUACAUUCUCAAGAUGAAAAUUUCUAUAAUUUCCCAGACAACUAAUUAUUGUGGACACAACUAAAUUUUUAAAAUUAUUAUUCUGAUAAUUAUCUCAUAAGUUUAAAAAUAACAAUAAUUGCAAAAGCCUUAAAUGUUUCAAGUCAAUAUCAACAGAUGGUGCCACUGGUAUACUUCUGAUUUUGAUUCCCUCUCAUUGAGUUUUUUUUUAUUAAAUGCUGCUGCUGUGCCUCUCUGGACUAAAAAUAAUUCAUUUUAAUGUGCUGAAAACCAAAAUAAGUCAUACCAAUCACCCUAGAAACAUCAGCACAUUGAAAACAAAUGUAAUUACACUUCGACGAUGAUUGGCUUAACUGUUUUUGGUUUCCAGCACAUCAAAUAUAAUUAUUUAAAGGGUUGAAUGUUGAAUGCACAGCAGCAGGACCGUGUCCUCUAUCUCAGUGGAAUCUUAUUUAUAUCAAAAGUAAAAGCUGUUGCCAUUUAAUGGCAGCCAAGGGGGAAUUCCUGAAUUCCCAACUGCUGGUAAACUCAUACAAUAUUUAGAAUCAGCCAACAUUAUCUGCUCUGUUACUGCAUCACCUCACAAAUCAAUGUCUUAUUAUGGUUGUAACUAUAAAGUUUUAUUAAUUUGUAAUUGUGCUGUUUUCUGCAGUCUAUUUUACGCGAUUUUUGGUGUUGAAAAAUUGUUGUUUACAUUUAUUAAUUUAUUUUUUAAUUGUAACUGAUUAUUCUGUUCUUCAAAGGUGGAAUGUAAUUUAACUGCAAUAGGUAUAACCUUCUAAUUUUCAUUGCCAAACCUAGUUUUCAAUUGUGAACUACUUUUAAUUCGCAGGUUAAAGGUCAUGUCACCUUUCUUUUUUAAAAAUUCAAUUUUUAGGGAUGAUAGCCCUCUUAGAUUUUUUGGGGCUCAGGGCUGAAAUGUAGUCCGUGAAAAUUUGCAUAAUUACACCAAAUUUUAGAGGCACAAAAAUAGCGUUUGCUGUAAUUAGAAAAUGUAAGUUUAAAUUCAGCUCGAUACUGCUCGAUCGAGUAUGGCCUUCGGUCAGCGAGUUCGCCUAUCAUUCGUUGAUAAUAUUUUAACCCAUUCCAUUUGAUUAGGCACAUCAAGAGGACCAAGGAUAGACAUAGUUAGGUCAAAAUCAACCUUAAGGGUCUGAACCUGACGAGACCCUGAGAUAAUAAUUUCGAAAAUUUCCAAUUUCAUCAAUCAUAGUGUCUUUUUAUAGGUUUUCGCUGCUUUACAGCUCAAUAAUACUGCCGAAUGACAAUCCUGAAACCGGUUCUUGAAAUAUUUGUGAAAGCCAUUAAUCUGGACGUGAUGUUAAAAAUUGUUUAAUUUUGAAAUCGGCAGUUUUGACUUUAAUAUUUUAUCUGUAGAGUGGUGAUAACCGACGGCAAGACACCAAGUUUGAUGAAAUUUGAUAUUUUUAACAAUUUUAUCUCAGGGCCACGUCAGGUACCGACCCUGAAGGUCGGUAUCGACCUCACUAUGUCUACCCUGGGCUCUCUUGAUGUGUCUAACAAAAUGGAGUGGGUUAAAAUAUUAUCGACGAAUGAUCGGCGAACUCACUGACUAAAGGCCGUGCUUGAUCGAGCGGCCUCGAGCUGGUUUUUAAUUUUUAAAUUCAAAUUGCAGUAAAACUAUUGUUGCACCUUUAAAAGUUGGUGAGCUUGUGCAGAGUUUAAAUUGCAACAUUUCAGCCCUGAUCCCCAAAAAACCUAAGGGUUCAUUCCUUAAUUGUGAAUUUGCGUAUAAAGGUCGUGAAAGGUGACCUUGACCUUUGACCUGCAAAAUUUUUGUAAAUUGAUUAGAUUUUUAUGGUCGAAAACUAGUUUAGACAGUGAAAAUUUCAAGGUUAUAACUAAACUCAGUAAAAAGUUACAGUUCACCUUUCAUUCACACAAUUCGAUUUUUGGGGAUUUUUUAAAAUAGGGAUCUUCAAAUUUGAUGUAUAAAAUGUAUUAUUUAAUUGUACUUUAAUUGUUGUAUGAAUAUCAUCCAAUAAAAGUGCUGCCCAUCUAGCUGCCAACUGAAGGUAACCGCAGGCGGGCACCCAAUGGUUACCUUUUGGCUACCUCUUACCUAGGGCUGUCAUUUUGCGCUACAAAUUUCACUUUUUUAAUGAACAGAGUCAAUCGACCUGCCACCUGACAGCCUUAGAUAAAAGGUAGCCAAAAGGUAACCAUUGGCUGCCCGCUGGUGGUAACCUCAGCCGGGUACCCGAUGGUUAGCUUUUGGUCAACGAAUAUUCUCGGCCUCUUAUUUAUUACGCUCCCUGAAUUCAGUUAUACUUAAAGGUACAAAUUAAGAGUCUCUCUGAAAGGUCAUUUUAAGGGUGCCCAUUUGGUGACCGAAUUCUGGGCAUGACCGCUCGCGGGUGCCCGAAGGGUUGGACAUGCGGUAUAACCAAUGGGUGCCCAUCUGGGUGCCCACGGGGGGUAGCCGGCUGACCGAACGCGGGCACCCAAUGGGCACCUUUUGGUUGACUUUUUUC